This is a long non-coding RNA of Pseudopipra pipra, 2216 nucleotides long. RefSeq lists it as uncharacterized. NCBI's taxonomy places the organism in Eukaryota, Metazoa, Chordata, Aves, Passeriformes, Pipridae. The transcript is spliced from 2 exons. The record is from RefSeq and is a predicted model, not a curated record.
CUGUCUCUGCUUUACCCGGGGCCAUCAACAAUACAGUGUCUUUAAAUCUGAGUACUUUCUUGGGUGUAUAAACACCUGAAAUGCCCCUCGUUAAGCUGUUUUCCACCUUGACCUCAUACCUUGGGAAAUAUGCCUGUUUGUGGGUUUGGUUUGAUUUGUGUUGGUUUUUUCCCUGUUUGUUUUUUGUUUUGUUUUUUCUUUUCUUUUUGCGUGUUUUUUCCCCCCCUUUGAAAAGCUGGUAUUUCUUCCUCCUUUCUGAGACCCGCUGGUUUAAAUUUCACCGGCUGAGCUGGAAAUGGUGUCGAAAUGCAGAGGAACUGAAGGCAGGGGAGGUCAAAACGGCGGUGAGGGGUGAAUAACUUCCUGGGCUUGGAUAUUUACUGGCACUGGUUGGAAAUUUGUACUAAUAGUUGCUUACAGGAUAUUUGAGUCUGAGCAGGAAGGUGCCAGGUCUGUUGUAGUGCUGUGUUUGCAGUAAUUUGGGGGUUUAUUGUGGUGGGAAUAAAUAAAUAUCCCAUGAUUGGGAUAUCAGUGAUUUCACUUCUAAGGGGAGAAGGUGGAGAGGAGUAUUAAGUAGCUCUUGUGUUGCAGAAUGUGUCAUUAGUUUAGAAUGAAACCUGAAAGGGGUCAAACCCUUGUUUCUGUUAGAAAAGGACAUAAAAUCAACACAGACACACAACAGUUGCUGUAAAUCCUGGUGGGAGCAGAUUUUACCAAUAGGGCAGGUGGAUGAAAAGCUCCUCACAAGUGUUUAUUAAGUUGACUUUCAACCCGUUUGAUCUUAACUUGCCUCUGCUUGAGCCUGAGGUCAGCAAAGCUUUUGCAGGGUUUUUCAUGAGGAACAAUGUGUGAUCUUAGAGGGUAAGUUAGUGUUCAGCCUGAUGAUCCCAGAUCAUGUAAUUUAUGGUGUAAUGUUUCCCGAGGCUUUCAUCAGCCUUUGGACUCUGUGGUGCUUUUUUCCCAUCCUUCAUUAGAAAGGGGACACUGGGAAUAAUGUGUAAAUGUUGCUGUUUAAAUGCAGGUUGAUUUUAUAACUGAGGCUUUGUUGGUGAAGCUGUCACUGCUGUGCUGUACAAGGCCAAAUUAAAGUGAUGCUUUUUGCUACAAACACAAAAAUUUUGGUUUCUUCUACUCCCUCCCCCACCAAAGAAAAAAGUAUUGAAAAUAUGAAAACUGGCAGGACUUUUGGGAGCCCACACAACUUCGUGUUGAGAAUGAGAAGUUUUGUACAGCUCUUCCCUACUGAGAUUUGCUGCUUGCUUUUCAUUUCAUAUCAGAUUUCUAAUCUACAGCAGCUUGUUAACUAGGCUGGGAAUUAGAAUAAUUUCUGCCAUCAGAGAGGAGGAAUUAAAUUGAGUCACUUUUGCAUGUUUGCCUUUUUAUUUUAAAGGUAUCAUCCCUGCCACUGACUCAGACUUACAGUGGUACAAGGACAAGGCUUGUGGGGUUUUUUGUUUUUAGAAAAGAGGUUUGGGAGGAUUUUUCUCUCCCUUAUCCCUUUAGAGUGGAACUUCAAGUUUUGCAUUAGUGAGACACUCUUUCCCUGAACAAAAGCUUAAUGCCUGACAAGGGAGGGUGUUGAGAGUAUUCUUUUGCAGUUUUAUAUUACAAUUAGAGACAAGAUCUCCCGUGUUCACAGGGUGAGUUUUGAGCAGGGUCUUGGAGAGUUUCUUUUCACUGGUUUGUUUUCCAAGCAGACAUUAGGGCCGAGAGAAGACAGAACUUUUUGUUCUUUGAACUAAAAUGUAGUAUUUUCUCCUUUGCUGUUUGGUUUAUUUGCUGUGAAGACCCCUCUGUCCAAGAGGAAGCUGCUCUGCAGACCUGCCUCCUCCUCCCUGGGCUGAAGGUCACCUCAAAGUUGUCAGGAGCCUGCAGCACAAUUCUGUGGAGUUGAGUUGAAGCACUUUGCCAACAUGAACUUCUCCAGGAGUCUGCCAGGAAAUCACUGGGAGUCCUGGCAGGUUUUUUUAAAGGGGAGGAUGAAAAAGACUCAAUCUAGUUUGUUUUCCUCAGGGAAAUCCAAUCUUAGUUAAUCUACUCCAUUGCCUUUUGUUUCAAUCUAAUUUUCUGGAAAUGUUCCCAAUUAGGUCCCAGGGGACAUGGGACCAAUGAUUUUUUCAUUAACUUUUUUUUUUUUUAUUUGAAAGCUGGAAUCUGCUACUGCAGAGAAUAAUGGGACUAGUUACUGUAAGCAAAUUAAACUCCUAUUUGCUGCA